GUUGUAUUUCAAUUUCAAAAUAAUAGACUGAUCAAGGUGUGCUAUUACUCAACUAUACCAUACAGUAUUACAGUCCUGGAGUGCAUAUUCUAUUUCUCAAUAAACAACAAACGUAGUUGUUGGUUUUGAGAUUUUGAAUAUUAUAUGAAUUUUCCUAUUCGCCUAAGACUAUGGAGGGGAAAAUAAAUGUAUGCACUUUCUGUUUUCCCGAAUACCUACUGCUUAAGAUAUUAAGAGUGGGUAUAAUAUUUGUCCAGAAGGGUAAAGAUAAAAUAAAACUCGUUAUGCUUAUGAUUUCGCAAUUGUAAAAUAGAACAGGGGUGGAGAAGGAUCACAAUUUUUCCAGUGGAUAUUCCAAGUUUCUAAAACUAACUCAGAUUCAUAAAUUUUGAAGUCAUUGUCAUUAAAGUCUUUAAAUACCUGCUUUGCAACUCUUCUUUUCGGUACAAGUCUUUUCUUACCCUUAUCCUAUUGCAUGGGUAGAAAAAAAAAAGAUAAGGAAACAAAUAAAAGAAAAA
Molecule: long non-coding RNA, 518 nt
Filed under: Glycine max (soybean)
Lineage: Eukaryota; Viridiplantae; Streptophyta; Magnoliopsida; Fabales; Fabaceae
Description: long non-coding RNA (GMAX_LNC004668)
Source: RNAcentral